UACAUGUAUGUGUGUGUGUUUAGGGUUGAAUCUCGUUUUUCAUUUCAGCCUCACUGGUGAUUCAUUUCUCUCCCUCACUCAUUCUCUCUACCCCUGCCUCCCUCCCUUCCCUCCACCGCCGAUCUUCUUCACUCGCCACCAAUCUCCUCUCUCAGCGUCUCUCUCUCUCUCUCCCCCCUUCACUCCACCAAUCUACUUUUUCCUCUAUCACCGUGGUCUCCAAAGGCGAUCCCGCCACCACCGUGGUCUUCAAAGGCGAUCCCGCUACCAUCGUCUACAACUUCUCCAUUGCUGCCCCUUUUUCUCUCAGUUCCGAGCACUCUUGGAGAAGGUGAAGACGAAGCAAAUCUAUCCGAGAUCUGAGUUUCAUAGCUAUUUAUCUCUCUGUUUGUUGAUGUCUCUCUUUAUCUCAAUGCUGUUUAUCUCUCUUUAUCUCACUGUUUGUUGUUGAUGUUGAUGAUGAUCAGAUGAAACAAAUUGUAGUUGUAGUUGUUGUUGAUGUUGAUGUGUUGAUGUCGAUCCGACGACCUCGGUUUCUCUUUUUUUUUUUCUUUUGAGCGGGGAAUUUCGGGGUCGGGGAUACCUGAUCCCCGUUAGAGGACGGGGGUGGGGAUGGUGAUAGGUCCCCCGUCGAGGAUCGGGGCCGGGGACGGGGACAUUGUUACCAUCGGGGACCGGGGACGGGGAGUAUGAUCCCCGGCCCCGGCCCGGGCCAUUCCUAAGCAGUGGUUUGAUUCUUCAUCUUGAUAUUGAUGCACAAUUUUCAUCUUGAUGCACAAUUUUCUGAGAUUUUCUACCUUUUUUUUUUUAGCUUCACACAAACACACACACACAUAUACACUUAUUCUGAGAUCUUAUAUUAUCAUUUAUUCUUCGUCUUCUUUAAAUUUUUUGUAGAUAUAUAUGAGUUUGAGUAAAUUGAUUUGGUUUCUAACAGAGAUCGUAGUGAUUUGGAUUCAAUAGCGAUUUGGUGUGUUUUCAAUCUCUCUCUCUCUCUCCACAGACACAGCAUAUAUACAUGUACAUAUCUAUAUAUAUACUCCUCUGUGUUCAUUCAAAAAUUGGAUUCGAAUUACCCUAUUACUUAUAGUCACAGCUUUAGUUGUUAUAUACCCUCAUGUGCCUAAUCUAGCAGAUAAAGAAGCUCUGUUUGGUUACCGAGAAAACACAGGAAAAUUGAAGAAAAACAAAAUUAAUCAGAAAAUGAAAAUCCUCUUCCAUCAACAUAAAAUUAAAAUAAUUUGCUAUCUAUAAUAGUGUUAUUGUUAGCAAAACCAUAAAAAACAUAAGAACAAGUUUUAAUAAAAAUUCUUAAAAAUCAACUCGACAAGCCUUAUCGCUUUGCUGUGAGAUGUUUAUCUAAUUAUUGUUCAAUUUUUAUAGUAUUGAUAUAUUUUUAGCUAAUUUUAUGUUUUAUAUUCUUUACUUUUUAUCUGCAAAAGUGAUUGGUAUGACCUGUUCACUUGGUUUGACAUUAUUCAUGGAACUUUAUGUACAUCGUAAUGUGCAUAGAUUUUCAUGGGCCCAAAAGAAAGAAUGAAGCCAAAAACCAAGAUAAGAUAUUGACAUGUAUUUCUCUAGAGUAUAUGGUCUGUUGGACAUUGACGUUGCUGAAGGAUCAAGAAACCUUUUAAUCUUGUUAAGUGUGCCCUAUAUUGCUUAAUUAAAGAUAUUGUGAUAAUAUAAUUAUCAUACAAAUUAAGAUGAUGUUGAAUCCUACAAUGGCAAGGUUGUUUACAGAAGGUCUUCCAGUAACUGCCUUCUAGGUACAAUUUUUCUCUCUUAAAAAGCUACUUAAAAAAAAGCACGAGACUUCUGUUAAAAUGGGAUUUGAGAAGAGUAAGAUGCACGUAGUCUAAACGAUUCUUGAAUUUGUUUUGGAUUAUGUUACGUUGCAAAGGAGAUCCGAAGCCAAGUUACCUUGUUUGAGAUCAAUCACUACUAGAUAACCAGUCUGAAUUUGGUGAUUCUGAGCCUUCGGAGACUCCAAGACACAGUCAUGAAGUGAUUUGCAAUUCGAGAAAUGAUAGUUUCAAUAGUCCUGUCCAGAAACACAAGAAAUUUCAUGAGCUCAUUGAAGCAUAAAAACAUCACUCCUCUGCUUGGGAUUUGUGUUGAAGACAAUGAACUAAUAUCUGUUUAUGAUUUCUUGUCUGGAGGAAAUCUAGAAGAAAACCUACAUGGUAAUAGCAAAGAAACAGCUGUAUUGUCAUGGGAAUUGAGAUUCAAACCAGCUGUUGAAAUUGUUGAAGCCCUAAAUUACUUGCACAAUGAAUGUUUUCGGCCGGUCAUUCACAGAGAUGUCAAGUCUUCAAACAUUCGUCUCUCUAAUGAGUUUGAACCGAAGGUGGUAGUUAUGACAGUUGAAAAUCUACACAAAUGUUUCAAUCCCCAAUGUAUUUGCUUCAGGUGUUAUAGGAUUGACUGCUGCUUCAUUUUGUUACUUGCAAUUCCUUCCACCCCAUAUGACAUGGAUGGCACCUAGUCAAGGAAGGAUUGCCGAUCCAAAUAUUAUGAAAUGCACUCUGAAAGUUUUACCUAAGGUUGUGUGGUGUCUCCUUCGAUUAGAAGCUUGGUGAAGGAUUUCAAAUUCCUCAUGCAAAGGUGUGGCUAUGGUAUCCAUCAUGUUUUGCGCGAAAGCAAUAGCAGUGCGGAUGGUCUUGCUAAAUUGGGAGCUAAUCAAGUUGAGCCUCUUGUUGUCAUGGACGAGGCUCUUGAAGAUAUUCGAGGGCUAGUGAUUGCUGACGUGGUUGGAUGUUCCCAGUCAUCGUAAAAGAUUACAUCGUCGAGAAAUAAGUAGUUUCUCAAAGAAGAAAAAGAUUGACAAAGUUGAGUGUGUUAUAGAGCCAACAACAGAAGAAAGUGAAAAUCAACUAGAAGUUGAACGUGAAUCUAACAUUGACAAUGGGAAGCCCAAACAGCAGCAACUGAAACAAGCUACAGAGCUCCACAAAGCAAGAGGAAAGAAAAAAGUUGAUGGAAGAAAAAUUAGGACGGAACAGAUACAUAAUCAUGAAGCAAAGGUACUGGGACUACAAUUGGUUAAUGAAAUAUACUGAGGAUAUUGAUAGAAUGAAGUUUUAUGAUUAGUGUGGCGCAACGAAACAACAGCUCACAAGAUCAAUAGCAAGCAACAUGAACCAAAUCGAUAAAGUCUCUGGAUGUGUAAUAAUCUUAUUGGUAAGUAAAUACCUCACUUACAAGUUAUAAGAUAUAAUAUUUACAUUUACUAAAUACUUAUUUAUAACAAUUUUUUUGUCCUUAACAAUAUUGGAUAUGCGAGCAUACAAGCAUCAUCAAACCAAAUGACAAGAACGCAAUCUCAAGAUUUGCAAAAUGGAACAUCACACAUCUGGGACAAUAAUUGGCAAAUUCAUCCUUGGAUGAUCUGAAAAAUAUUGUGGAGAGCAAUUUGAAGCACACAAAUGAAGAACAACAAAUAUAUAAACAAUUGCUACCACAAACAGAAGAUGAGGACGAAGGUGAAGAACCUAACUUUGAGGAAC
This is an RNA transcript of Camellia sinensis, 3506 nucleotides long. It is a transcript of the gene named protein kinase STUNTED, with no coding region annotated. Lineage: Eukaryota; Viridiplantae; Streptophyta; Magnoliopsida; Ericales; Theaceae. The record is from RefSeq and is a predicted model, not a curated record.